AGAGCGGCGUGCUAACCUGGGAGGACUAGGUUUUUUCCGGCCAGGGAGUGGAAACCUGAGAAGUAGGGAGAACCUUCCUUCUCCGCCCCUGGACGGUGGUUUUUCUUUUUCUUUCUGAGACAGGGUCUCGCUCCGUCGCCCAGGCUGGAGUGCAGUGGCGUGAUUUCGGCUCACUGAGGCCCCGACCAACCUCUCGGGCUCGAGCGAUCCUCCCACCUCCUCCCCAGUAGCUGGGAUUACAGGCACACGCCACGACGCCCGGGUAGCAUUUUUUUUUUUUAACAGUCGGCGUCUUGCCAUGUUGCCCAGGCUGGUCUUGAACUCCCGGCCUCGAGAGAGCCUCCCGCCGUGGCCCCCCCAAAGUGCUGGGAUUACAGGCGUGAGCCACCGCGCCCAGCCGAGAUUAUUUCUGUCACUAACAAUAAUGUGGCAUUCUGGAACGCUAUGUGCCACAUACUGUUCUAAGAAUUUUAAAUGUAUUUACUCAAUCUUCAAUACAUACUUACAGAGCACUCUCAGAGAAGUUGCCCCCCCACCCAUGGUACUAUUAUUAUCAAUAGCCACUUAAGGGGUAUUAGUACUAUUAUCAGUAAUUUAUUUUAUUUUUGAGACGGAGUUUUUCGCUCUCGUCACCCAGGCUGGAGUGCAGUGGUGCGAUCUCGGCUCACUGCAACCUCCGCUUCCCGGGUUCAAUCGAUUCUCGUGCCUCAGCCUCCCGAGAAGCUGGGACUACAGGCGCCCACCACCAUGCCCGGCUAAUUUUUAAAUUUUUAGUAGAGACGGGGUUUUGAACUCCUGGUCUCCAACGCCUGACCUCAAGUGAUCCACCCGCCUCAGCCUCCCAAAGUGCUAAGAUUACAGGUGUGAGCCACCGCGCCUGACCUAGAGUUCUCUUUUUAUAUAUAGUCUGGUUAUUGUCUGUCUGUACACCCAUCUCUCCACUCCGAAUGCGAUGGUCUGUCUCCACAGCUCGUGUUCUUCAGUUGUCUUCCCUACGCUGCUGCCUCGGCAGUCACUAUCUCCUCAGGAAGCAGUCCCACCCGCCCCUUUCUCUUCCACGGCAUCCACACCAUCCGGAUGCCUGGAUUCAAAUGCCACGUCACCACUUGCCAGCUGCAGUGCCUUCGACAAGUUUCUCAAUCACUCUGUGCCUCAGCGUCCUCCUCUGUAAAACGGCGAAUGAUGGUAGCGCCUACCUCAUAAGCUUGUGAGGAUUAAGUGAGAGUCUAUCCAGUGUUGAGGAGAGUGGCAUAAAUAAAGCGCCUAGUGGUAGCUACCAUCGUCAUUAUUGUCAUCUGCAUUGUACUUCCAUAUCUUACAAACUACCUUGUUCAGUUUUAUGGGUUUUUUGUUUGUUUGUUUUGUUGUUUUGAGACGGGGUUUUGCCAUAUUGCCCAGGCUGGUCUUGAACUCCUGGGCUCAAGUGAUCCACUCGCCUCAGCCUCCCCAAGUGCUGGGAUUACAGGUGUAAGCCACCAUGCCUGGCCAAAUUUUAUGCAUUUUUGUAUCUUGAACACGCGUAUAUUAUUCAUCUGGAAGGGGGAAACGUGGAAGGAAAAAACUUCCAUAAGUUUUCACUCCCUUCAGGAUGAAGUCCAAGCUCCACAAAUUCCGGGUGCCUCGUGAUUACAGAGAUGGUUUUAUAAUGGUGGUUGAACCUGUAGGUUCUCAAGUCUUAAAAAAGAUCUGCGUUUGAACCUCAGCAGUCACUGACGAGCUCUUGAUCUUAGGCAAAUUAGCCUCUUCAAGAGUGCUAAAUGGGAGAAAGUAACAGGACUUUCCUCAUAGGGUUUGAUGAUUUAGAGUAAAAAAAAAAAAAAAAGAAAAGAAAACCAGCACAGAGUCUUGUGUACUGAAGGUGCUUAAUAUCUUAACACAGCUGACUCUGUACAGUCUGGGGGCGAGGGGCACUGACCCCCAGCUCAGCCGAAAACCUCCAUAUAGGCUGGGCGCGGUGCCUCACGCCUGUAAUCCCAGCACUAUGUGGAAGGCCAAGGCCGGCGGAUCAACUGAGGUCAGGAGUUCGAGACCAGCCUGGCCAACAUGACAAAACCUGGUCUCUACUAAAAAUACAAAAAUUAGGCAGGCGUGGUGGCAGGUGCCUGUAAUCCCAGCUACUUAGGAGGUUGAGGCAAGAGCAUCACUUGAACCCAGGACGUGGAGAUUGCAGUGAGCCGAGAUCGCACCACUGCACUCCAUCCUGGGCGACAGAGCAAGACUGCCUCAAAAAAAAAAAAAAAAAUCAAGAAAGAAAAUCUGCAUAUAACUUUUGACUUCCCCAAAACUUAACUACUAGGCCAGGCACCGUGGCUCACACCUGUAACCCCAGGUGGGAUUUGGGAAGCUGAGGUGGGCAGAGCACUUGAGCCCAGGAGUUCAAGACCAGCCUGGGCAACACGGCAAAACCCAGACUCUACAGAAAACAGAAAAAUUAACUGGGUGUGGUGGUGUGUGCCCGUAGUUCCAGCUACUUGGGAGGCUGUGGUGGGAGGACUGCUUGAGUCAAGGAGGUUGAGGCAGCAGCGAACUAAGAUCAUGCCCCUGCACCCCAGCCCAGCUGGCAGAGCAAGACACUGUCUCAGGAUUUAAAAAAAACAUUACUCGUAGUUGACUGGAAGCCUUACCAAUAACAUAGUCAAUUAACACAUAUUUUAUAUGCUAUAUGUAUUAUAUUCUGUAUUCCUAUGAUGAAUUAAGCUAGAGAAAAGAAAAUAUUGGCCGGGCGUGAUGGCUCAUGCCUGUUACCCCAGCACUUUGGGAGGCUAAGGCGGGCGGAUCACCAGGUCAGGAGAUCGAGACCAUCCUGGCUAACACGGUGAAACCCCAUCUCUACUAAAAAUACAAAAAAUUAGCCGGGCGUGGUGGCAGGCACCUGUAGUCCCAGCUACCGGGGAGGCUGAGGCAGGAGAAUGGCGUGAACCCGGGAGGCGGAGCUUGCAGUGAGCUAAGAUCGCGCCACUGCACUCCAGCUUGGGUGACAGAGCGAGACUUCGUCUCAAAAAAAAAAAAAAAGAAAAUAUUAAGAAAAUUCUAAAAAAGAGAAAAUAUAUUUACUAUUCAUUAAGUGGAAGUGGAUCAUCAUAAAGGUCUUCAUCCUUGUCUUCAUUCUGAGUAGGCAGAGGUGCAGAAAGAAGAGGAGGGUUUGGUCUUGCUGUCUCAGGGUGCCAGAGGUGGAGGAGGUAAAAGGCAAAGCAGGAGAGGCAGGCAUGCUCUGUGUAACCUUUACUUUUUUCAAUCUGCAUAAAAGUGGACCCGAGCAGUUCAGACCCAUGUUGCUCAAGGGUCAACUGAUGAGAUCUGGCCUCACCCUGAUCCUCUUCAGAAGCAUGGUCCAGUCAUAUGGCACCAGGCCCUCUUCCACAAACCCCUCAUGCUUCCUCCUCUCUCUCUCUCACUCAGGCUGGAGCCCUCUAGCCCUUCCUCUCUGAAAGGAGCACGGGUAAUAUAAGAGGAACCCUUGGUUUCCAUCAUGGGUUGCCAAGGACCAGCUGGGCAUGCUUGGGGAGCUGAAUUCCUUUCCUUUUGUACAAGUGUAAUAAAAUCUAAUUAUGCCCCAUCCAUAGGACGCAAAACCAUGUAGCUGUUGGCAAAAAUGAGACAAGCCUGGGCAUAUCCAAUAAGCAAGAUGCAGAAGUGUGCAUAGUAUGCUACAAUUUUCAUUAAUAAAAAUGACCUUAACGUAUGUAUAUUUAUUUAAAAUAUGCUUAGAAAGUCAUGUAGGAGAAAUUAUAAUUUCCAAAUUGUCUCAGCCCUGAUUUAAAAAUUAUAGUUUAAGCCACUCAUUUAUUUAGCAACAAUGUAUUGACUGCUGUGUGCCAGGAACUGUUCUUGGACCUGGGGAUACUGCAUGAACAAGGGUAAAUAAAAGAAAAACCAAAACCAAAACCUUGUCCUUAACUAGAAACAAAUGCCAAUCACCUGAUGAAUGGAUAAAUAAAAUGGGGUUAUGUCCAUACAAUGGAAUAUCCAGCAGUAAAGAGGAACAAAGCUGGCCGGGCACGGUGGCUCAUGUCUAUAAUCCUAGCACUUUGGGAGGCUGAGGUGGGCGGAUUGCCUGAGCUCAGGAGUUCGAGCCUGGGCAAUUAUGGUGAAACCCUGUCUCUACUAAAAUACAAAAAAUUAGCCUGACGUGGUGGCAGGCGCCUGUAAUCCCAGGUACUUGGGAGGCUGAGGUGGGAGAAUCGCUUGAACCCACUUGAACCCAGGAGGCAGAGGCUGCAGUGGGCCGAGAUUGUGCCACUGCACUCCAGCCUGGGCAACAGAGCAAGACUCUGUCUCAAAAAUAAAAAAAAUAAAUAAUAAUAAUAAUAAUAAGCAAGGAAGAGAAUGCACAUGGCCAGUUCAUGAGGAAGCUGCAAAGUAGGACCUUUGAGUUUUACUCUGAGAUGGAAAACUCCAGGAAAGUUUUAGACAGAGCUGUGACAUGGUCUGACUUAUCUUUUAAUAUGAUGAUUCUGGCCGGGCGCGGUGGCUCACUGUCAUAUUUUAAAUUAAUCUAAACUUACAGGAAAUUGAGAUUCUAUGAAGUCUGUUUACUGGGAAUGGCAAGAAAGAGGGGAGAUGGGAGUCUCUCUAAACCUAUUCUGGUUCCAGAGGCUGCUCAAUUCACACAAAAAAGAGAAAGAAUGAAACAUGGGGGGAAGAAAUGGAAGAACUAGAGGUGGAGACUUUCAGCCCCAGAAUUUUACCAUGUGGAAGUUUUUGUUUGUUUUUGUUUUUUUGAGACAGUGUCUAGCUCUGUCGCCCAGACUGGAGUGCAGUGGCGUGACCUUGGCUCACUGCAACCUCCACCUCCCAGAUUCAAGUGAU
Molecule: long non-coding RNA, 4809 nt
Filed under: Homo sapiens (human)
Lineage: Eukaryota; Metazoa; Chordata; Mammalia; Primates; Hominidae
Description: HSALNT0398701
Source: RNAcentral